UAAUUUAUCAGGUUUCCGGAAAAUUGGAAGUGGUAUUUUUCUUUCCAUUUUUGCCUCUUUUUUCAUUAAUUUUGGCCUCAGCAGAAAAACUCGACCUGGAAAAGGACCAUCCUUACUCUUUCCUAUUGAAGUGAAGAACAUCAAAUUUGCCAAA
Molecule: long non-coding RNA, 154 nt
Organism: Capsicum annuum
Lineage: Eukaryota; Viridiplantae; Streptophyta; Magnoliopsida; Solanales; Solanaceae
Exons: 2
Source: RefSeq, a predicted model, not a curated record